UUUCAGCUUUGUCAGUUGGCUUUGUCUCUAGCAGCAAGAAAUAUUUUCUUUUUUGGUCAGAAGGAAGGUCCACAAGCAUUUGAUUUCUAGAUUCCAUUCACUGUGUCAAGGUCUUGAAGUUCUGGCAAUACCAUCUUGCUCCUGAGACACUGGAGUUCAUUAAAGACAUUAAUGAUGGAAUGGAAAAUGGAGGUGGGCAGAGCAAGCCAAAUACAUACCAGGAGGAGUACAGAAGAGAAAGCCAGACCUACUCUCAUAACAUCAGACUUCAUAUCAGCAUCAUGUUCUCCUCUAUUUUCUUCAAAGCACACUUUUUUCAUUAAAUAACCUAUUUAAAUUGUUUCACUUUCAAUAUACAUUAGAAAUAUUUUUAAAAUAUUUGCUAAAUACAUCAGUUGUACAUUUCUUUACUGUUUUGACAAUAUGACCUAUUUUUACCCUGACAGCUUAGGAACCAAGAGAUAAAACACAAACAAACAAAUAACCAAAGCCACGAUACUUUAAAAGUUAUAAAAAGUUAUCUUAUGUUCAGUUACUUUCUAAUCUCAAGAUUUUGAUGGGUAGAGUUUUUUAAUUCAUUAUUUUUAGACUUUCAGAAUGACAAAUGUAAUGUUUUUCUUAAAAUCACUGUUAUUACUGUAAAAUUGCUAUAAAAUUGCUGUAAAAUUACUGUUCAAUACAUUAAUUUAAUACAUAAGAUUUAGAGAAAGUUUUUGCUAUGAUCGAGAGAAAAAUUAACGCUAACUACAGAUGGAAAUUACACAUUUAUAAAGCAUGAGUUCUGUAUUUUAACUGUAAAAUUGCAUAAUCGAGCAAUUGAAUCUACACUUCAGACAAUACUAGUAAAGAAGGGACACUGUAGAAGAGAUCAGCUGCAGAAGCAGGAUUAGAAAUUAAUUCUCUUGUUUCCCAGUUCAGCAUCUUACUAAACCAUAGGACCAUAAGGCUUUCCUUAAGGCCAAACAGUGAUACUGUUUCUGUUAUAAUCUAUUUAAUCACUCGUGAGUGAUUCUGGUGGCACUAGAAGGAGAGUUUGGCUCUAAGGUUUUAUUAAAAUUCUAAUUCACUUUAGGUCAAAGAACAUAUGCCUUUCAUUCAUUUUAUAGAAAAACAACAAACAGCCUCAUUCAGAGUACUGGUAUGCACAUUAUGUCACAGUACCCUGUAUUGGUCUGUUUGUACUGCAGAAGUAUUCAUUUUAAUAGAAGGUCUGUCUGGUGCUGCAUUAUUUUAUUAGUCAGAGUUGAGAUUAGCACCAGAUGGUGUUUUGCUACUCCUAUCAAGCUGUGGAAAAAAGGAAAAAGCCAAAAGUAAACCCCCAAAAUACAACCCAAAGCCACAGUGUAUUUUGUGGGGGUGUGUGAAUAUAUGUGUGCUUUCCCAUUUGAAAGGUAAAGUAUCACAGAAUCACAGAAUCACAGAUUGGAAAGAACCUCAGGGAUCAUCUAGUCCAAACUUUCUAGGAAGAACACAGGAUAGACAAGGUGGCCCAGCACCCUGUCCAGCCGACUCUUGACACUGUCAAUGUGGCCGACUCAAGCACUUCCCUGGGGAGAUUAUUCCAAUGAUUGACUGUCCUCACUGAAAAAUUUCCCUCUUGUGUCCAAUCGGAAUCUCCCCAAGAGCAAUUUGUGUCCAUUCCCCCUUGUCCUCUCCAUGGGACUCUGUGUAAAAAGGGAGUCUCCGUCUUCUCUAUAGCCACCCUUUAAAUACUGGAACGUGGCUAUAAGGCCUCCUCUAAGCCUCCUUUUCUUAAGGCUGAACAAACCCAGUUCUCCCAGCCUAUCCUCC
Non-coding RNA from Phalacrocorax carbo (great cormorant), 1791 nucleotides. NCBI's taxonomy places the organism in Eukaryota, Metazoa, Chordata, Aves, Suliformes, Phalacrocoracidae. The record is from RefSeq and is a predicted model, not a curated record.